UAUAUGUAUAUGCAAACACUGCAUUGAUUCCUCCCAUAUGACUAUUGUCUUCAACUUAUUUUGCUAGUCUUUGUUAUCUCCCAUAAAACUUUAACAACACCCUCCUCUAAUAACAUUAAGGAUGUUGCUUUCAAAAUUUUGGUUCUUUUGGGAAGGAGUUGCUAGAUCUUUUUUUUUUUUUGCUCUAUUUCCUGUGCAAUUUUCCAUGCAUAUACAUUUCAGGAUAUUCUGCCUACGCUUUAUUUAUGCAGGCUUGGAAUGCAUUAUUCCUGCUAGAUUAUUGUUGAAUUUCUCUUUUGUGCUAGACCUAAUAAGAGCUGAUUGGCACAGGAUGAAGUAUUGAUUGCUGG
RNAcentral lists this unclassified non-coding RNA (350 nucleotides) under Hevea brasiliensis (rubber tree). Lineage: Eukaryota; Viridiplantae; Streptophyta; Magnoliopsida; Malpighiales; Euphorbiaceae. The record is from RNAcentral.